ACGAACGCUGGCGGCGUGCUUAACACAUGCAAGUCGAGCGGUAAGGCCCGUUUCGGGGGUACACGAGCGGCGAACGGGUGAGUAACACGUGGGUGACCUGCCUUUAGCUCUGGGAUAAGCCUGGGAAACUGGGUCUAAUACCGGAUAUGACUCCGCGGUGCAUGCUGUGGGGUGGAAAGCCUUGUGCGGCUGGAGAUGGGCCCGCGGCCUAUCAGCUUG
This 219-nucleotide ribosomal RNA is filed under the name uncultured bacterium. Its description in RNAcentral is "partial 16S ribosomal RNA". It matches the Rfam family "Bacterial small subunit ribosomal RNA", at positions 29 to 248 of the family's 1533-position model. The record is from RNAcentral.